This 253-nucleotide ribosomal RNA is filed under the name uncultured bacterium. RNAcentral describes it as "partial 16S ribosomal RNA". It matches the Rfam family "Bacterial small subunit ribosomal RNA", at positions 524 to 776 of the family's 1533-position model. The record is from RNAcentral.
UACGGAGGAUCCGAGCGUUAUCCGGAUUUAUUGGGUUUAAAGGGUGCGUAGGCGGGAUAUUAAGUCAGUGGUGAAAGUUUGCGGCUCAACCGUAAAAUUGCCAUUGAUACUGGUAUUCUUGAGUACAUUUGAGGUAGGCGGAAUGUGGUGUGUAGCGGUGAAAUGCAUAGAUAUACCACAGAACACCGAUUGCGAAGGCGGCCUACUAAACCGUGACUGACGCUGAUGCGCGAAAGCGUGGGUAUCAAACAGG